UUCAAGAAUAUAUUUUCAGAAUUCAACUCUUUUUUUCUUCUUCUACAGAUGUAAAUUUCAUAAUUGACAAACAAAGCAAAACGGUAUAUAUAUCUUGAAAAACCGAUCCACAAAUAAUAAUCUACUACUAAAUGAGCGUCCAUCCACUCCAUAAUGUGUGUGAUAAUGCGUUUAUCAACUGUGUUUGUGGAUGUUAUAUAGGUUAGUAGCUUU
This 213-nucleotide small RNA is filed under the name Arabidopsis thaliana (thale cress). RNAcentral describes it as "ATSL029200". Lineage: Eukaryota; Viridiplantae; Streptophyta; Magnoliopsida; Brassicales; Brassicaceae. The record is from RNAcentral.